Molecule: long non-coding RNA, 712 nt
Organism: Etheostoma cragini (Arkansas darter)
Lineage: Eukaryota; Metazoa; Chordata; Actinopteri; Perciformes; Percidae
Exons: 4
Source: RefSeq, a predicted model, not a curated record
GAGCAUGGAAAUCAAAAGCGGUUGGAACAACCACUGCCGCUGUCCUGGCUGUCAUACUGCUCUCUGUUUUUAUGUUGGCUAGAAAGAAGAGGGCUUCCAAGCAAUCACCUGAGCCUAAAGAGAAACCAAAACCCAGGGAACAGUAUCUAACUACUCAGAGAGAGCUGGCCAGUGAGCAGGAGGACCUUCACUAUGCCAGUGUCCAGUUCUCCAAGAAGCAGCCAGAUUCUCUCUCCAUCAGACCCGCUCGGCUCCACAGACAGGAGGAGGGAGACAGCGUUGUGUACGCUGCAGUCACAUUUUAGAGAAGUCAGACGGGGAGGAUUCAGCUGCACUGUACAGCACAAUCAACAAAAAACCCGCUGAACACAGAAGGAAUCUCCAGCCUGGUAUUUAUAUUGACUAGUCUGUUUAUUUAAGCUGGUAACCAUUGAUUGCAUAUAUUUCUUUGUGAGAAUACAGCAUUAAGAGAACCACAUACAUUUCAAUUUAACAAAUUUAAAACAAUACCAAAAUUUGAUAAUUCCUUUUAAUUGUAAACUUAAAUUAUUUUACAUGUCUUUUGGAAGUCUAAUUAUUUAGAAGUACAUUUUAAUGACAACCUGUUUUGAUGUUUUAGCCCCCAGCAGAUACAACCCUCUACACUUGAUUUUUGUGUGUAACAGCAAUCAAACUCGACCUGAACUUAACCUUAGUAUGAAACCUUUUCACU